GUCACUGAAACCAGCAUCCAGGUGAUGCGACACUUCUGCCGGGGUCCUGGCUGCAAGGUGGAUUAUGACAUCUCACUGGACCCAUACCCAUAUAGAGUGGUUCCAGCAUACCUGUGGGAUUUUGAUAUCUACCUGGGCCAACUUUGAAGUGAUGUGACUCUUCUGCCUGGGCCCUUCCCUCAGUAAGAAUUGUGACAUCUCUGGAUCCUACACCUAGGUGAUGUUACAUUCUAUCCUGCACCAUACCAACAGACAUCAUUGUGACAUAUCACUGUGUCCAUCACUUAAAAGACAUAACUGUCAAGACCAGCUCGGUCAGGGAGACCCUAGCCCAGUGGUGCUAGAGGAAUUAAAGACACACACAGAAAUAUAGAGGUGUGGAGUGGGAAAUCAGGAGUCUCACAGCCUUCAGAGCUGAGAGCCUCGAACAGAGAUUUACUCACAUAUUUAUUGACAGUGAGCCAGUGAUAAGCAUUGUUCUUAUAGAUUAUAGAUUAACUAAAAGUAUUUCUUAUGGGAAAUAAAGAGAUGGGCCAAAAUAAAGGGAUGAGUCUAGCUAGUUAUCUGUAGCAGGAGCAUGUCCUUAAGGCAUAGAUCGCUCAUGCUAUAUUGUUCGUCGUUUAAGAAUGACUUUAAGCAGUUUUCCACCCUGGGUGGGCCAGGUGUUCCUUGUCUUCAUUCUGGUAAACCCACAACCUUCCAGCGUGGGUGUCAUAGCCAUCAUUAACAUGUCAGAGUGCUGCAGAUAUUUUGUUUAUGGCCAGUUUUAAGGCCAGUUUAUGGCCAGAUUUUGGGGGGCUUGUUCCCAACAUGUCCUCCUUCUUUGAUUUGCAAAGUGAUAAAAGCAAAGGCAGCUUCAUCACGGUGUUCUCACAGGAGUUGGGAUCUGCAUCUGCAGACUAUACAAAGACAAACAACUCAGAUUAAAAGUA
This 932-nucleotide long non-coding RNA is filed under the name Homo sapiens (human). RNAcentral describes it as "HSALNT0346590". Lineage: Eukaryota; Metazoa; Chordata; Mammalia; Primates; Hominidae. The record is from RNAcentral.